Long non-coding RNA from Orussus abietinus, 560 nucleotides. RefSeq lists it as uncharacterized. NCBI's taxonomy places the organism in Eukaryota, Metazoa, Arthropoda, Insecta, Hymenoptera, Orussidae. The transcript is spliced from 2 exons. The record is from RefSeq and is a predicted model, not a curated record.
UGGAUUUUGCCAAACCCUAGAAGGACGAUUCCCAGGAGGAGAACUUUUCGGAGCACCAUCUUUGCGCCUCCUCGGCGACUGACUUGCUGACGUUGGCCACUUUCCAAUGAAUGAGCUGUAAGUCCAACGAGCCGAGCGAGUACUUCCUGGGUGAUUAGACAAGCAAUUAGUCACGUUUCCGAUGGUAAUUCUGCCAAACACCUGCACAAACUAUGAACGUCAGCUCACACAACGACCGACUUUUAUGGACAGUGGUGAUUCCAUCGGGUGGAGGUAUCUACAACGGACCAACGUGAAAUUCCGCUCCAGGCCGAAUUAAUAUCUGCAUAUCCCUGUCAAUAGGGUUCUAAUUGACAUUGGACGUAUCGGCUGGCCGAUAAUCGGACGUUGCACGCUUCGACUAAUUGCUUUCAUUUGAAUAGCAUUAGAACCUAUUCUCUCGAUGACAUGGAUUCUGAGAGAGCUGGAGGUUAUUUAAAAAUUUCGUAUGAAAAAAAAAUCCAUACGCUAAUUGUACGAAUUUGUAUCUCGAUCUGUAGAUUAAAGUCUCUUGUAUUCUU